Molecule: ribosomal RNA, 479 nt
Filed under: uncultured bacterium
Lineage: Bacteria
Description: partial 16S ribosomal RNA
Rfam family: Bacterial small subunit ribosomal RNA
Source: RNAcentral
GAUGAACGCUAGCGGGAGGCCUAACACAUGCAAGCCGAGCGGUAGAAAUUCUUCGGAAUCUUGAGAGCGGCGUACGGGUGCGGAACACGUGUGCAACCUGCCUUUAUCAGGGGGAUAGCCUUUCGAAAGGAAGAUUAAUACCCCAUAAUAUAUUUGAUGGCAUCAUUAGAUAUUGAAAGCUUUGGCGGAUAGAGAUGGGCACGCGCAAGAUUAGAUAGUUGGUGAGGUAACGGCUCACCAAGUCGAUGAUCUUUAGGGGGCCUGAGAGGGUGAUCCCCCACACUGGUACUGAGACACGGACCAGACUCCUACGGGAGGCAGCAGUGAGGAAUAUUGGACAAUGGGUUAGCGCCUGAUCCAGCCAUCCCGCGUGAAGGACGACGGCCCUAUGGGUUGUAAACUUCUUUUGUACAGGGAUAAACCUACUCUCGUGAGAGUAGCUGAAGGUACUGUACGAAUAAGCACCGGCUAACUCCGUG